This 77-nucleotide transfer RNA is filed under the name Deltaproteobacteria bacterium RBG_13_61_14. Its description in RNAcentral is "tRNA-Arg". It matches the Rfam family "tRNA". From Rfam's summary of the family: Transfer RNA (tRNA) molecules are approximately 80 nucleotides in length. Their secondary structure includes four short double-helical elements and three loops (D, anti-codon, and T loops). The record is from RNAcentral. Lineage: Bacteria; Deltaproteobacteria.
GCGCUCGUAGCUCAGUUGGAUAGAGCAGCGGACUUCUAAUCCGCAGGUCGCAGGUUCGAGUCCUGCCGGGCGCGCCA